GGUUCCAUGGUGUAAUGUUUAGCACUCCAGACUCUGAAUCUGGUGAUUGGAGUUCAAGUCUCGUCGGAACCU
RNAcentral lists this transfer RNA (72 nucleotides) under Clytia hemisphaerica. RNAcentral's name for it is "tRNA-Gln for anticodon CUG". It matches the Rfam family "tRNA". Rfam says of the family: Transfer RNA (tRNA) molecules are approximately 80 nucleotides in length. Their secondary structure includes four short double-helical elements and three loops (D, anti-codon, and T loops). Further hydrogen bonds mediate the characteristic L-shaped molecular structure. tRNAs have two regions of fundamental functional importance: the anti-codon, which is responsible for specific mRNA codon recognition, and the 3' end, to which the tRNAs corresponding amino acid is attached (by aminoacyl-tRNA synthetases). tRNAs cope with the degeneracy of the genetic code in two manners: having more than one tRNA (with a specific anti-codon) for a particular amino acid; and 'wobble' base-pairing, i.e. permitting non-standard base-pairing at the 3rd anti-codon position. Lineage: Eukaryota; Metazoa; Cnidaria; Hydrozoa; Leptothecata; Clytiidae. The record is from Rfam by way of RNAcentral.